This 558-nucleotide ribosomal RNA is filed under the name uncultured bacterium. Its description in RNAcentral is "bacterial SSU rRNA". It matches the Rfam family "Bacterial small subunit ribosomal RNA", at positions 102 to 674 of the family's 1533-position model. The record is from RNAcentral.
ACGGGUGAGUAACACGUGGGCAACCUGCCCCCGGCUCUGGGAUAACUCCAAGAAAUUGGUGCUAAUACCGGAUAUUCUUCUUUCACCGCAUGGUGGUUGGAGGAAAGUUUUUCGGCUGGGGAUGGGCCCGCGGCCUAUCAGCUUGUUGGUGGGGUGAUGGCCUACCAAGGCGACGACGGGUAGCCGGCCUGAGAGGGUGACCGGCCACACUGGGACUGAGACACGGCCCAGACUCCUACGGGAGGCAGCAGUGGGGAAUAUUGCGCAAUGGGCGGAAGCCUGACGCAGCGACGCCGCGUGAGGGAUGACGGCCUUCGGGUUGUAAACCUCUUUCAGCAGGGACGAAGCGUGAGUGACGGUACCUGCAGAAGAAGCACCGGCCAACUACGUGCCAGCAGCCGCGGUAAUACGUAGGGUGCAAGCGUUGUCCGGAAUUAUUGGGCGUAAAGAGCUCGUAGGCGGUUUGUCGCGUCGGCUGUGAAAGCCCGGAGCUCAACUCCGGGUCUGCAGUCGAUACGGGCAGACUUGAGUGUUGCAGGGGAGACUGGAAUUCCUGGU